This 1529-nucleotide ribosomal RNA is filed under the name Salmonella enterica. Its description in RNAcentral is "bacterial SSU rRNA". It matches the Rfam family "Bacterial small subunit ribosomal RNA". Lineage: Bacteria; Pseudomonadati; Pseudomonadota; Gammaproteobacteria; Enterobacterales; Enterobacteriaceae. The record is from RNAcentral.
UGAUCAUGGCUCAGAUUGAACGCUGGCGGCAGGCCUAACACAUGCAAGUCGAACGGUAACAGGAAGCAGCUUGCUGCUUUGCUGACGAGUGGCGGACGGGUGAGUAAUGUCUGGGAAACUGCCUGAUGGAGGGGGAUAACUACUGGAAACGGUGGCUAAUACCGCAUAACGUCGCAAGACCAAAGAGGGGGACCUUCGGGCCUCUUGCCAUCAGAUGUGCCCAGAUGGGAUUAGCUUGUUGGUGAGGUAACGGCUCACCAAGGCGACGAUCCCUAGCUGGUCUGAGAGGAUGACCAGCCACACUGGAACUGAGACACGGUCCAGACUCCUACGGGAGGCAGCAGUGGGGAAUAUUGCACAAUGGGCGCAAGCCUGAUGCAGCCAUGCCGCGUGUAUGAAGAAGGCCUUCGGGUUGUAAAGUACUUUCAGCGGGGAGGAAGGUGUUGUGGUUAAUAACCGCAGCAAUUGACGUUACCCGCAGAAGAAGCACCGGCUAACUCCGUGCCAGCAGCCGCGGUAAUACGGAGGGUGCAAGCGUUAAUCGGAAUUACUGGGCGUAAAGCGCACGCAGGCGGUCUGUCAAGUCGGAUGUGAAAUCCCCGGGCUCAACCUGGGAACUGCAUUCGAAACUGGCAGGCUUGAGUCUUGUAGAGGGGGGUAGAAUUCCAGGUGUAGCGGUGAAAUGCGUAGAGAUCUGGAGGAAUACCGGUGGCGAAGGCGGCCCCCUGGACAAAGACUGACGCUCAGGUGCGAAAGCGUGGGGAGCAAACAGGAUUAGAUACCCUGGUAGUCCACGCCGUAAACGAUGUCUACUUGGAGGUUGUGCCCUUGAGGCGUGGCUUCCGGAGCUAACGCGUUAAGUAGACCGCCUGGGGAGUACGGCCGCAAGGUUAAAACUCAAAUGAAUUGACGGGGGCCCGCACAAGCGGUGGAGCAUGUGGUUUAAUUCGAUGCAACGCGAAGAACCUUACCUGGUCUUGACAUCCACAGAACUUUCCAGAGAUGGAUUGGUGCCUUCGGGAACUGUGAGACAGGUGCUGCAUGGCUGUCGUCAGCUCGUGUUGUGAAAUGUUGGGUUAAGUCCCGCAACGAGCGCAACCCUUAUCCUUUGUUGCCAGCGGUCCGGCCGGGAACUCAAAGGAGACUGCCAGUGAUAAACUGGAGGAAGGUGGGGAUGACGUCAAGUCAUCAUGGCCCUUACGACCAGGGCUACACACGUGCUACAAUGGCGCAUACAAAGAGAAGCGACCUCGCGAGAGCAAGCGGACCUCAUAAAGUGCGUCGUAGUCCGGAUUGGAGUCUGCAACUCGACUCCAUGAAGUCGGAAUCGCUAGUAAUCGUGGAUCAGAAUGCCACGGUGAAUACGUUCCCGGGCCUUGUACACACCGCCCGUCACACCAUGGGAGUGGGUUGCAAAAGAAGUAGGUAGCUUAACCUUCGGGGGGGCGCUUACCACUUUGUGAUUCAUGACUGGGGUGAAGUCGUAACAAGGUAACCGUAGGGGAACCUGCGGUUGGAUCACCUCCUUA